UUAUUUGCAGUUGCGUUAUCAUUGCCUCUCCACUUAGUAUGAGUUUUGUACGUGUAUUAAUCAUAGCGUUUUCUUUGUGAGGGUCUAGAUAAAGUGCAUCGGCUAGACAACGUACCACUGUGCAUAAUCUGUGCUAUAAAGCUGCCGAUUUCAAAAGGGAAUUUAAUGUGAACGACAUUGGAAUACAAAAUAAUUUGUCUUUUCGACAACAGAUAAAAACAGAUGGUGUUGUUUUUGACCAAUAUGUAGAGACAAAAGUACUUUUACUGGGUCAGUGACGGUUGAAUCUACUGCGAAAAAUGCGCAUUAUUACUGGCAACAGACGAAUGUCAAAUAGCAGUGGAAUACAAAUACACGGAUAACUGUAGAAUGGUUCAACAUCAUUACAAUUGUUCUCGAAACCUGGAAGUAUAAAAAUAUAAUGAGUAAGUAGUAAGUGAUGAGAAAAAAUUUAAAUUAGAAAUAAAGUUGCUUGUAUCAUUUACACUUUAUGUUACCAUAGUAAU
Papilio machaon (common yellow swallowtail) is the source of this 506-nucleotide long non-coding RNA. RefSeq lists it as uncharacterized. The record is from RefSeq and is a predicted model, not a curated record. The transcript has 3 exons. Lineage: Eukaryota; Metazoa; Arthropoda; Insecta; Lepidoptera; Papilionidae.